CCUACGGGAGGCAGCAGUGGGGAAUAUUGGACAAUGGGGGGAACCCUGAUCCAGCCAUGCCGCGUGUGUGAAGAAGGCCCUCGGGUUGUAAGGCACUUUCAGUGAGGAAGAACGCCUGGUGGUUAAUACCCAUCAGGAAAGACAUCACUCACAGAAGAAGCACCGGCUAACUCCGUGCCAGCAGCCGCGGUAAUACGGAGGGUGCGAGCGUUAAUCGGAAUUACUGGGCGUAAAGCGCGCGUAGGUGGCUUGAUAAGCCGGUUGUGAAAGCCCCGGGCUCAACCUGGGAACGGCAUCCGGAACUGUCAAGCUAGAGUGCAGGAGAGGAAGGUAGAAUUCCCGGUGUAGCGGUGAAAUGCGUAGAGAUCGGGAGGAAUACCAGUGGCGAAGGCGGCCUUCUGGACUGACACUGACACUGAGGUGCGAAAGCGUGGGUAGCAAACAGGAUUAGAUACCCCAGUAGUC
Molecule: ribosomal RNA, 465 nt
Filed under: Vreelandella stevensii
Lineage: Bacteria; Pseudomonadati; Pseudomonadota; Gammaproteobacteria; Oceanospirillales; Halomonadaceae
Description: partial 16S ribosomal RNA
Rfam family: Bacterial small subunit ribosomal RNA
Source: RNAcentral